AGCAGCCGCGGUAAUUCCAGCUCCAAUAGCGUAUAUUAAAGUUGCUGCAGUUAAAAGCUCGUAGUUGAAUUUCGGGAUCAAUAUGUUGGUCGUGCCUCGGUACGUACUAGCUUAUUGGUUUCUUCCUUCUGACGAACCAUAAUGUCAUUUAUUUGGUGUUAUGGGGAAUCAGGACUGUUACUUUGAAAAAUUAGAGUGUUUAAAGCAGGCUCACGCUUGAAUACAUUAGCAUGGAAUAAUGAAAUAGGACGUUUGAUUCUAUUUUGUUGGUUUCUAGGAUCGACGUAAUGAUUAAUAGGGAUAGUUGGGGGCAUUAGUAUUCAAUUGUCAGAGGUGAAAUUCUUGGAUUUAUUGAAGACUAACUACCGCGAAAGCAUUUGCCAAGGAUGUUUUCAUUAAUCAAGAACGAAAGUUAGGGAUCGAAGACGAUCAGAUACCGUCGUAGUCUUAACCAUAAACUAUGCCGACUAGGGAUCGGAUGAUGUUAAUUUUUAAUGACUCAUUCGGCGCCUUACGGGAA
Molecule: unclassified non-coding RNA, 520 nt
Filed under: uncultured Glomus
Lineage: Eukaryota; Fungi; Glomeromycota; Glomeromycetes; Glomerales; Glomeraceae
Description: SSU rRNA
Rfam family: Eukaryotic small subunit ribosomal RNA
Source: RNAcentral